RNAcentral lists this ribosomal RNA (227 nucleotides) under uncultured bacterium. RNAcentral describes it as "partial 16S ribosomal RNA". It matches the Rfam family "Bacterial small subunit ribosomal RNA", at positions 109 to 334 of the family's 1533-position model. The record is from RNAcentral.
AGUAACGCGUGAGGAACCUGCCUCAAAGAGGGGGACAACAGUUGGAAACGACUGCUAAUACCGCAUAAGCCCACGGCUCGGCAUCGAGCAGAGGGAAAAGGAGUGAUCCGCUUUGAGAUGGCCUCGCGUCCGAUUAGCUAGUUGGUGAGGUAACGGCCCACCAAGGCGACGAUCGGUAGCCGGACUGAGAGGCUGAACGGCCACAUUGGGACUGAGACACGGCCCAG